CUUUCAGAAGCUGCUGGAUCCUCUUCACUCUGGCUUGCUGAUAGUUUUAUCUUGCAGCAUUAUUCUGAACGUUGCUCUCAUUUGUAUAAGAUGUAAACUGACCUGUACACACUGUGCAGAUGAAAAGAACAGUGAUAUAUCAAAAGUGGAAUGGUCACGCAAGCAAUGCCAUGACGAGGACACACUGAAUUACGCUGCCCUGAACCUUAAGAAGCCAAAACCCAGGAGACAGAAGAAAGACGGGAAUAAUGACACUCUGUAUUCUGACCUCCGCUACAGAGAUUAUGAAUAAAGAUGCUUCUCAUUCAUGUCAGUCACACAGAGUGUUCAGGGUGUAGCUUUAAUAAUGUUCAGAAGGAGGGCAGGGGAGCCAGUGCUUCUGAGACUGAA
Long non-coding RNA from Brienomyrus brachyistius, 390 nucleotides. RefSeq lists it as uncharacterized. Lineage: Eukaryota; Metazoa; Chordata; Actinopteri; Osteoglossiformes; Mormyridae. The transcript has 3 exons. The record is from RefSeq and is a predicted model, not a curated record.